Molecule: non-coding RNA, 107 nt
Organism: Erinaceus europaeus (western European hedgehog)
Lineage: Eukaryota; Metazoa; Chordata; Mammalia; Eulipotyphla; Erinaceidae
Source: Rfam
GUGCUAACUUCUGCAGCACAUAUACUAAAACUGAAGUGAUACAAUGAAGAUCAGCAUGGCCUCUGCACAAGAAUGACACAAACCUGUGUUAUGUGUUUCGUUAAAAA